Molecule: ribosomal RNA, 253 nt
Filed under: uncultured bacterium
Lineage: Bacteria
Description: partial 16S ribosomal RNA
Rfam family: Bacterial small subunit ribosomal RNA
Source: RNAcentral
UACGUAGGGUGCGAGCGUUGUCCGGAAUUAUUGGGCGUAAAGGGCUCGUAGGCGGUUUGUCGCGUCGGGAGUGAAAUCAUCUGGCUUAACUGGGUGCUUGCUUUCGAUACGGGCAGACUAGAGGUAUGCAGGGGAGAACGGAAUUCCUGGUGUAGCGGUGAAAUGCGCAGAUAUCAGGAGGAACACCGGUGGCGAAGGCGGUUCUCUGGGCAUGAUCUGACGCUGAGGAGCGAAAGUGUGGGGAGUGAACAGG